GUGCUCCUUAGAACUCCCUCAAACGCUUCAUUGGGACAACAUUAUUUAGACAACCAAAAAGGGAUAUAUGUAGUCCUACUGAAGUGUUUGGGGGAACUCCAGGGAUCAC
Molecule: non-coding RNA, 109 nt
Organism: Beta vulgaris subsp. vulgaris (sugar beet)
Lineage: Eukaryota; Viridiplantae; Streptophyta; Magnoliopsida; Caryophyllales; Amaranthaceae
Source: Rfam